This 250-nucleotide ribosomal RNA is filed under the name uncultured bacterium. RNAcentral describes it as "partial 16S ribosomal RNA". It matches the Rfam family "Bacterial small subunit ribosomal RNA", at positions 523 to 769 of the family's 1533-position model. The record is from RNAcentral.
AUACGAAGGGGGCCUAGCGUUGUUCGGAAUUACUGGGCGUAAAGCGCAUGUAGGCGGACAUUUAAGUCAGGGGUGAAAUCCCGGGGCUCAACCUCGGAACUGCCUUUGAGUACUGGGUGUCUAGAGUGUGGAAGAGGUAAGUGGAAUUCCGAGUGUAGAGGUAGAAAUUCGUAGAUAUUCGGAGGAACACCAGUGGCGAAGGCGGCUUACUGGUCCAUUACUGACGCUGAGGUGCGAAAGCGUGGGGAGC